Molecule: ribosomal RNA, 443 nt
Filed under: uncultured bacterium
Lineage: Bacteria
Description: bacterial SSU rRNA
Rfam family: Bacterial small subunit ribosomal RNA
Source: RNAcentral
UCGUGUCGUGAGAUGUUGGGUUAAGUCCCGCAACGAGCGCAACCCUUGUCCUUAGUUGCCAGCACGUAAUGGUGGGAACUCUAAGGAGACUGCCGGUGACAAACCGGAGGAAGGUGGGGAUGACGUCAAGUCCUCAUGGCCCUUACGGCCAGGGCUACACACGUACUACAAUGGUCGGUACAGAGGGUCGCGAAGCCGCAAGGUGGAGCCAAUCCCAGAAAACCGAUCCCAGUCCGGAUUGGAGUCUGCAACUCGACUCCAUGAAGUUGGAAUCGCUAGUAAUCGCGAAUCAGCUAUGUCGCGGUGAAUACGUUCCCGGGCCUUGUACACACCGCCCGUCACACCAUGGGAGUUGGCUGCACCAGAAGCAGGUAGUCUAACCGCAAGGAGGACGCCUACCACGGUGUGGUCAAUGACUGGGGNGAAGUCGUAACAAGGUAACC